RNAcentral lists this ribosomal RNA (310 nucleotides) under uncultured bacterium. RNAcentral describes it as "bacterial SSU rRNA". It matches the Rfam family "Bacterial small subunit ribosomal RNA", at positions 28 to 334 of the family's 1533-position model. The record is from RNAcentral.
GAUGAACGCUGGCGGCGUGCUUAACACAUGCAAGUCGAACGAUGAAGCUGGAGCUUGCUCUGGUGGAUUAGUGGCGAACGGGUGAGUAACACGUGAGCAACCUGCCCCUGACUCUGGGAUAACAGCCGGAAACGGCUGCUAAUACCGGAUAUGCACCAUGAACGCAUGUUCUGUGGUGGGAAAGUAUUUUUCGGUUGGGGAUGGGCUCGCGGCCUAUCAGCUUGUUGGUGAGGUAAUGGCUCACCAAGGCGUCGACGGGUAGCCGGCCUGAGAGGGUGACCGGCCACACUGGGACUGAGACACGGCCCAG